RNAcentral lists this ribosomal RNA (543 nucleotides) under uncultured bacterium. Its description in RNAcentral is "bacterial SSU rRNA". It matches the Rfam family "Bacterial small subunit ribosomal RNA", at positions 777 to 1319 of the family's 1533-position model. The record is from RNAcentral.
AAUAGAUAUCCAGGUAGUCCAUGCCGUAAACGUUGGGCACUAGGUGUGGGGCUCAUUCCACGAGUUCCGUGCCGCAGCAAACGCAUUAAGUGCCCCGCCUGGGGAGUACGGCCGCAAGGCUAAAACUCAAAGAAAUUGACGGGGGCCCGCACAAGCGGCGGAGCAUGCGGAUUAAUUCGAUGCAACGCGAAGAACCUUACCAAGGCUUGACAUACACCGGAAAAGUGCAGAGAUGUGCUCCCCGUAAGGUCGGUGUACAGGUGGUGCAUGGUUGUCGUCAGCUCGUGUCGUGAGAUGUUGGGUUAAGUCCCGCAACGAGCGCAACCCCGUCCCAUGUUGCCAGCGGGUUAUGCCGGGGGACUCAUGGGAGACUGCCGGGGUCAACUCGGAGGAAGGUGGGGAUGACGUCAAAUCAUCAUGCCCCUUAUGUCUUGGGCUUCACGCAUGCUACGAAUGGCCGGUACAAAGGGCUGCGAUACCGUAAGGUGGAGCGAAUCCCAAAAAGCCGGUCUCAGUUCGGAUUGGGGUCUGCAACUCGACCCC